Molecule: ribosomal RNA, 429 nt
Filed under: uncultured bacterium
Lineage: Bacteria
Description: bacterial SSU rRNA
Rfam family: Bacterial small subunit ribosomal RNA
Source: RNAcentral
AACGAACGCUGGCGGCGUGCCUAAUACAUGCAAGUCGCACGAGAAAGUCCUUCGGGAUGAGUAUAGUGGCGCACGGGUGAGUAAUACAUAGGAACAUACCAUUUGGUGGGGAAUAACCACGGGAAACUGUGGCUAAUACCGCAUGGUGACGUGAGUCUAAAGAGGGCCUCUACUUGUAAGCUCUCGCCAAAUGAGUGGCCUAUGUCCCAUUAGCUAGUUGGCAGGGGUAAUGGCCUACCAAGGCAACGAUGGGUAGCUGGUCUGAGAGGAUGAUCAGCCACACUGGGACUGAGACACGGCCCAGACUCCUACGGGAGGCAGCAGUAGGGAAUUUUGCACAAUGGGCGCAAGCCUGAUGCAGCAACGCCGCGUGAGUGAAGAAGGACUCUUGGGUCGUAAAGCUCUUUCGGCUGGAAAGAAGGGGUUGCC